UCGUUGUAGCAAUACGAUGGAAAGUUUAGUGGCGAACGGGUGCUUAACACGUGGGCAACCUGCCAGGAAGUGGGGGAUAGCUCGCCGAAAGGCGAAUUAAUACCGCAUGUGAUUAGAGAGGACAUCCUUUCGAAAUUAAAGUCGGGGCAACCUGACGCUUCUUGUGGGGCCCGCGGCCUAUCAGCUAGUUGGUGGGGUAAAGGCUCACCAAGGCUUUGACGGGUAGCUGGUCUGAGAGGACGACCAGCCACACUGGGACUGAGACACGGCCCAGACACCUACGGGUGGCAGCAGUCGAGAAUUUUUGACAAUGGGGGAAACCCUGAUCGAGCGACGCCGCGUGGAGGAUGAAGGUCUUCGGAUUGUAAACUCCUGUCAUUGGGGAACAAGGUGCAUACUUUAACUGCGUGUGCAUUGAUAGUACCCGAAGAGGAAGAGACGGCUAACUCUGUGCCAGCAGCCGCGGUAAUACAGAGGUCUCAAGCGUUGUUCGGAUUCAUUGGGCGUAAAGGGUGCGUAGGCGGCGCGGUAAGUCGGGUGUGAAAUCUCGGGGCUUAACUCCGAAACUGCAUUCGAUACUACCGUGCUUGAGGACUGGAGAGGAGACUGGAAUUCUCGGUGUAGCA
RNAcentral lists this ribosomal RNA (626 nucleotides) under uncultured Verrucomicrobiota bacterium. RNAcentral's name for it is "bacterial SSU rRNA". It matches the Rfam family "Bacterial small subunit ribosomal RNA", at positions 71 to 680 of the family's 1533-position model. Lineage: Bacteria; Pseudomonadati; Verrucomicrobiota. The record is from RNAcentral.